ACGGAGGCAGCAGUGGGGAAUAUUGGGCAAUGGGUGAAAUCCUGACCCAUCAACGCCGCGUGAAGGAAGAAGGUCUUCUGAUUGUAAACUUCUUUUAUAAGGGACGAAUAAAGUGACGGUACCUUAUGAAUAAGCCACGGCUAACUACGUGCCAGCAGCCGCGGUAAUACGUAGGUGGCAAGCGUUAUCCGGAUUUACUGGGUGUAAAGGGCGCGUAGGCGGGGAUGCAAGUCAGAUGUGAAAUCUAUGGGCUUAACUCAUAAACUGCAUUUGAAACUGUAUCUCUUGAGUGCUGGAGAGGUAGAUGGAAUUCCUUGUGUAGCGGUGAAAUGCGUAGAUAUAAGGAAGAACACCAGUGGCGAAGGCGAUCUACUGGACAGUAACUGACGCUGAGGCGCGAAAGCGUGGGGAGCAAACAGGAUUAGAUACCCUGGUA
RNAcentral lists this ribosomal RNA (436 nucleotides) under uncultured Oscillospiraceae bacterium. RNAcentral's name for it is "partial 16S ribosomal RNA". It matches the Rfam family "Bacterial small subunit ribosomal RNA", at positions 341 to 792 of the family's 1533-position model. Lineage: Bacteria; Bacillati; Bacillota; Clostridia; Eubacteriales; Oscillospiraceae. The record is from RNAcentral.